UUCUUAUUAGAUGAUGGCUGUCAUGUGUCAUGUUGUGAUUGGUCAAUGAAAACAACAAUUCAUUCUAUCUUUCAUGGAGUUGACAUUUAAUCAGAACAUGACACGUGACAAUCAUUAUCC
Non-coding RNA from Glycine soja, 120 nucleotides. The record is from Rfam. Lineage: Eukaryota; Viridiplantae; Streptophyta; Magnoliopsida; Fabales; Fabaceae.